GUUAAAGUAUCGAUAUUAGAUUGGGUAAUGCUCAAUUGGUAUAACAUUGUAAACGAAGGUAAUUCAUAUAUACCAAAAAGCCCGCUAGAGAAUCCCACUACCAACAGAUUGCUAGUAGGAUGAAAGGCUGCGCAUCGUAAUUUUGAGUUUUGGUUGAAAUAAUGUCGUUCCUUAAUCAACCAAAUAUGCGUCCGAGUUUUAUUUUCCUCUGCCUCUUCGUCAAUUACCUCUCCUGCUUGGAAUAGAGGCGAGUAUUUCCAAACAAAUAGGGCGCCAUCUUUGCUCACAGUAUAAAUGGUUUGUUGGUCUUUAGAAAAAAACCCCGAUACUACUGUAUUUUUAUGACCAGUAAGAGCACAGGGAUGAAAACCUUCGAUAGGGUCGACAGAAUGUAAACGAGCGGUCAGAUCCUUUGAAGUAGAUAUAAAAAAGCGAGAGUCGGCUGACCAAGAAAUUGAGACGAUGUCGUCAAAAUGGCCAGUAUAUUCACGAUGCAAUACAAAAGGAGCAAAUUCCCUUUCCUCUAAAGAAUUAGGCGUACGCCAAACUUGUAUUAAUUUUCCCAAGGAAACCGCAAAAAAUUUGCCAUUAGGAGAAAACUCAAUUGCACCAACUGGUGACUUAAAAUUAAAAUAAUGAAGCACACUUCUUCUCAAAAAAUUGCAUAGAAUGCAUCGUCCUUCUUCAUCCACUGACAAAAGAAGUGUAGAUGUAGGUGACAAAGCUAUAUGAGAUAUGUUUUUAUGAUUUUCAAAAGGAAACGUAUAAGACGUGUUAUCUUUUAGGUUGUAUACGCUUACACGAUUUCCAACAGGACUUAAAAUAGAAAAUCCAUCAGGAGUAAAGACUAGAUUACCUUUAGAAAAGAUUGUUCCUACUAAGUUCGAAAACCCAAAUUCAGUUUUCAUUUUCUAG
Molecule: non-coding RNA, 915 nt
Organism: Schizosaccharomyces pombe (fission yeast)
Lineage: Eukaryota; Fungi; Ascomycota; Schizosaccharomycetes; Schizosaccharomycetales; Schizosaccharomycetaceae
Source: the annotation of a GenBank genome assembly